This 72-nucleotide transfer RNA is filed under the name Bos taurus (domestic cattle). It matches the Rfam family "tRNA". Rfam says of the family: Transfer RNA (tRNA) molecules are approximately 80 nucleotides in length. Their secondary structure includes four short double-helical elements and three loops (D, anti-codon, and T loops). RNAcentral also lists the same sequence under 5 other names. Lineage: Eukaryota; Metazoa; Chordata; Mammalia; Artiodactyla; Bovidae. The record is from Rfam by way of RNAcentral.
UCCCUGGUGGUCCAGUGGUUAGGACUCAACACUUUCACUGCUGAGGCACUGCUUCAAUCCCCGGUCAAGGAA